Molecule: ribosomal RNA, 440 nt
Filed under: uncultured bacterium
Lineage: Bacteria
Description: bacterial SSU rRNA
Rfam family: Bacterial small subunit ribosomal RNA
Source: RNAcentral
CCUACGGGUGGCAGCAGUAAGGAAUAUUGGUCAAUGGACGCAAGUCUGAACCAGCCAUGCCGCGUGGAGGAUGAAGGUCCUCUGGAUUGUAAACUUCUUUUUUCUGGGAAGAAACCUGUCUUUUCUUGGGCAGCUGACGGUACCAGAAGAAUAAGCACCGGCUAACUCCGUGCCAGCAGCCGCGGUAAUACGGAGGGUGCAAGCGUUAUCCGGAUUCACUGGGUUUAAAGGGUGCGUAGGUGGGCUGAUAAGUCAGUGGUGAAAUCUCCGGGCUUAACCUGGAAACUGCCAUUGAUACUAUCGGUCUUGAAUCUCGCGUAGGUAAGCGGAAUAUGUCAUGUAGCGGUGAAAUGCUUAGAUAUGACAUAGAACACCAAUUGCGAAGGCAGCUUACUUCACGAGUAUUGACACUGAGGCACGAAAGCGUGGGGAGCAAACAG